Molecule: transfer RNA, 64 nt
Filed under: Margattea limbata
Lineage: Eukaryota; Metazoa; Arthropoda; Insecta; Blattodea; Pseudophyllodromiidae
Description: tRNA-Glu
Source: RNAcentral
AUUUAUGUAGUUUAAAAAAAACAUUACAUUUUCAUUGUAAAAUUAAAACCCUUUUUCAUAAAUA